GUCCACGCCGUAAACGAUGGAUGCUAGGUGUGGGCGGUGUCGACUCCGUCCGUGCCGAAGCUAACGCAUUAAGCAUCCCGCCUGGGGAGUACGGCCGCAAGGCUAAAACUCAAAGGAAUUGACGGGGGCCCGCACAAGCAGCGGAGCAUGUGGUUUAAUUCGACGCGACGCGAAGAACCUUACCUGGGCUUGACAUGCACUGGAAAGCCGUAGAAAUACGGCCUCCCUUCGGGGCCAGUGCACAGGUGGUGCAUGGCUGUCGU
Molecule: ribosomal RNA, 263 nt
Filed under: uncultured bacterium
Lineage: Bacteria
Description: partial 16S ribosomal RNA
Rfam family: Bacterial small subunit ribosomal RNA
Source: RNAcentral